GGGGGCGACCUGGUUUCGACGUGGGUUGCGAAGCAGCGCAGGGCAUACCGAGGACCAGGCUACCUCGUAAAUCCAUCUGGAACACGCAAUAGUCGCCAACGACGAAAGCUACGCCCUCGCCGCUUAAUCGGUGAGGCUGUGCACCGGUUUUUUCCUGGGCCGGAGUUUGGGGCAACCCAGACCGCACAGUCAUUUACAGGAAAAUCGGACACGUCGGGGCUACUUCGGCGGGUCUUAAAUCCAAGGUAGCUCGCUCUGUCGCAGUCUGUCCGUGGACGACGCCAGCGUUAAACCAAAUCACGUGGCUAAGUAUGUAGAACUGCCUGUAGAGGGCUUGCGGACGCGGGUUCGAUUCCCGCCGCCUCCACCA
This 370-nucleotide transfer-messenger RNA is filed under the name Pseudomonadota bacterium. It matches the Rfam family "transfer-messenger RNA". From Rfam's summary of the family: Bacterial tmRNA, also known as 10Sa RNA or SsrA, is named for its dual tRNA and mRNA-like properties. Its role is to liberate the mRNA from a stalled ribosome. To accomplish this part of the tmRNA is used as a reading frame that ends in a translation stop signal. The record is from RNAcentral. Lineage: Bacteria; Pseudomonadati; Pseudomonadota.